GCCGGGGUGGCGGAAUGGUAGACGCAGGAGACUUAAAAUCUCCCAGGGGAUUCCCUGUGCCGGUUCGAGUCCGGCUCCCGGUAC
This 84-nucleotide transfer RNA is filed under the name bacterium BMS3Bbin04. Its description in RNAcentral is "tRNA-Leu". It matches the Rfam family "tRNA". Rfam says of the family: Transfer RNA (tRNA) molecules are approximately 80 nucleotides in length. The record is from RNAcentral.